This 1218-nucleotide long non-coding RNA is filed under the name Nicotiana tabacum (common tobacco). RNAcentral's name for it is "long non-coding RNA (NTAB_LNC017335)". Lineage: Eukaryota; Viridiplantae; Streptophyta; Magnoliopsida; Solanales; Solanaceae. The record is from RNAcentral.
UGGAGCACACCAACAUCUUUCGGUGAGUUGAUAGCCUACAUGGAGGGCUCUCGACCUAUCUAUUGGGACCUGUGGGCAUGAAACGCAGCGUCCCCAAGCAAAAGGGACGUCAGUACGAAUAAUGUAUUGAGUAUGUAAGGCACAUAAAUAAAUACAUAAGAGACAUGAAAGACAUAUAGAGUAUAUGACUCAACCUGUAAGUCUGAAUAACUUUGUAAAUCAUAAAUUAUUUUAGCGUCAUGCGUAUGCGUAUGAAUGUCAUGCGGUGCAUAGGUACAUGUUUCAUAACAUCAUCAGCCUCUGAGGGCAUCCCAUCAUAUCAUAUCGGCCACUACGGGCAAAAUCAUCAUCAUAUACCAGCUGAUCAGGUAGUGGUGCGUAUAUAACGUCAUAACCUUUCCCAUAUCCCAUAUACAUAUAUACAUACAUAUAUACGCGUAUAUAACGCUAUUUGAAUCAUAUUUACAUAUAUAUGCGUAUAUAACGCCGUUUGAAUCAUAUUUCGGCCACUAUGGGCAACAUCAUCAUCAUAUACCAGCUGAUCAGGUGGUGAUGCGUAUAUAACGCCAUAACUUUUUCCUAUAUCCCAUAUACAUAUAUUUACAUAUAUACGCGUAUAUAACGACAUCUGGUCAUGGGUCAAUGCAUAUGAAUGCAGUACAUAAAAAGUAUGUCAAUAAAAUCAUUCAGAAUGUCAUAAGACCAUUUUGCCUCUGAGUAAUAUUAUAAAGUAAACUCUUUUCAACUUUCGUAUUUUUCUGAGACCCAUGAACAGAUGAUAAGAUAUUAUAACACACGAAAAUUCAAAAACAUAAAUAUCUCUAAUAUAUCUAUGAAUAGAGUCAUUCAUGGAAUUUGUGCAUUUGCACGUUCCGUUCGUAUCGUAUGGAUUAUGCCAAAAGAAAGAAGUGAUAGCUUUAACAUACCUGUUCCUGAAAAAUAUGAACGAAACUACGCUUCAAAUUCCUUGAAAUUGAAAUGAAUUUGCCUUCUGCUUCUAAAGCUUUGUGAACCAAAGAAUGGAUUUAAGCAAAAAUUUGUUCCAACGUUUUGCUUCAAGCUUCUGUUCCAAAGAUUUUGGUUUCCAUCCAAGGACAUGAAAUGAUUUUGGUUUCAAAUUCUAGAUUUCAACGUUUUUUUAAGACUUGGAAUGAAUACUUCUAAGGAUUGACGUUUCUGUUUCUUGCUAACUCACAUUUUUUGGUUCCUUCAUAUUCG